Molecule: ribosomal RNA, 1033 nt
Filed under: uncultured bacterium
Lineage: Bacteria
Description: bacterial SSU rRNA
Rfam family: Bacterial small subunit ribosomal RNA
Source: RNAcentral
AGAGUUUGAUCCUGGCUCAGAUUGAACGCUGGCGGCAGGCCUAACACAUGCAAGUCGAACGGUAACAUUUCUAGCUUGCUAGAAGAUGACGAGUGGCGGACGGGUGAGUAAUGCUUGGGAACUUGCCUUUGCGAGGGGGAUAACAGUUGGAAACGACUGCUAAUACCGCAUAAUGUCUACGGACCAAACGGGGCUUAGGCUCCGGCGCAAAGAGAGGCCCAAGUGAGAUUAGCUAGUUGGUAAGGUAACGGCUUACCAAGGCGACGAUCUCUAGCUGUUCUGAGAGGAAGAUCAGCCACACUGGGACUGAGACACGGCCCAGACUCCCACGGGAGGCAGCAGUGGGGAAUAUUGCACAAUGGGGGAAACCCUGAUGCAGCCAUGCCGCGUGUGUGAAGAAGGCCUUCGGGUUGUAAAGCACUUUCAGUUGUGAGGAAAAGUUAGUAGUUAAUACCUGCUAGCCGUGACGUUAACAACAGAAGAAGCACCGGCUAACUCCGUGCCAGCAGCCGCGGUAAUACGGAGGGUGCGAGCGUUAAUCGGAAUUACUGGGCGUAAAGCGCACGCAGGCGGUUUGUUAAGCUAGAUGUGAAAGCCCCGGGCUCAACCUGGGAUGGUCAUUUAGAACUGGCAGACUAGAGUCUUGGAGAGGGGAGUGGAAUUCCAGGUGUAGCGGUGAAAUGCGUAGAUAUCUGGAGGAACAUCAGCGGCGAAGGCGACUCCCUGGCCAAAGACUGACGCUCAUGUGCGAAAGUGUGGGUAGCGAACAGGAUUAGAUACCCUGGUAGUCCACACCGUAAACGCUGUCUACUAGCUGUGUGUGCCUUUAAGGCGUGCGUAGCGAAGCUAACGCGCUAAGUAGACCGCCUGGGGAGUACGGCCGCAAGGUUAAAACUCAAAUGAAUUGACGGGGGCCCGCACAAGCGGUGGAGCAUGUGGUUUAAUUCGAUGCAACGCGAAGAACCUUACCUACACUUGACAUGCUGAGAAGUUACUAGAGAUAGUUUCGUGCCUUCGGGAGCCAAGACACAGG